CAUGCAAGUCGAACGGAAAGGCCCCUUCGGGGGUACCCGAGUGGCGAACGGGUGAGUAACACGUGGGUGAUCUGCCCUGCACUUUGGGAUAAGCCUGGGAAACUGGGUCUAAUACCGAAUACACCUCAUGGGAUGCAUGUUUUGUGGGGGAAAGCUUUUGCGGUGUGGGAUGGGCCCGCGGCCUAUCAGCUUGUUGGUGAGGUUACGGCUCACCAAGGCGACGACGGGUAGCCGGCCUGAGAGGGUGUCCGGCCACACUGGGACUGAGAUACGGCCCAGACUCCUACGGGAGGCAGCAGUGGGGAAUAUUGCACAAUGGGCGCAAGCCUGAUGCAGCGACGCCGCGUGAGGGAUGACGGCCUUCGGGUUGUAAACCUCUUUCGCCAGGGACGAAGCGCAAGUGACGGUACCUGGAGAAGAAGCACCGGCCAACUACGUGCCAGCAGCCGCGGUAAUACGUAGGGUGCGAGCGUUGUCCGGAAUUACUGGGCGUAAAGAGCUCGUAGGUGGUUUGUCGCGUUAUUCGUGAAAACUCACA
RNAcentral lists this ribosomal RNA (538 nucleotides) under uncultured Mycobacterium sp. RNAcentral describes it as "bacterial SSU rRNA". It matches the Rfam family "Bacterial small subunit ribosomal RNA", at positions 54 to 606 of the family's 1533-position model. The record is from RNAcentral. Lineage: Bacteria; Bacillati; Actinomycetota; Actinomycetes; Mycobacteriales; Mycobacteriaceae.